This is a long non-coding RNA of Phyllostomus discolor (pale spear-nosed bat), 650 nucleotides long. RefSeq lists it as uncharacterized. Lineage: Eukaryota; Metazoa; Chordata; Mammalia; Chiroptera; Phyllostomidae. The transcript is spliced from 3 exons. The record is from RefSeq and is a predicted model, not a curated record.
UCCCCACGGACCCCGAUGUCGGGGAGCGGAGUUAGUGCUGGGAACGGUGCCAAAGCAGAGAACCAAGGCGAUAAAAUAAUUACAAAUGAAAGGGAGAUUAGCAGGGACUGUCGGGACAAAUGCUUCCAAAAUGGUUCCUGAAAUCUUGGGCGGCACAUUCUCAAAGGAGACGUCGCAGCAGCUGCUGUCUCCACGGCAACGGGGCAACAGAUGCCCCGCCGGGAGCGCUCGCUGCAAAUGUCAGACACCGCCAAACACCAGGCACGGGGAAGGAGAUGACAGACUGGGUCACCUUUGCAUCAUGGAAAUGGACUGACUUCUGGAGGGGAACCGGGGUAGCUCAGAGGAGUGGAACUUCCCAACCUGGAAGUCAACUGUCUUCAGCCGUGGUAUGGGGAGACCCAGGGGAGAGGCUCACCCCAGCGUGGACCGUGUGCUCAGUAGAACAGGACAUGGCUGGGUACCUCCUGCACUGACCUCAUAGAAGCAGGCAGGAAUAACUCUGAGAGCCAUGAAUGAUAAGGUGUAAAGCCAGCGAAUCAAUUCUCCACAUUCAGUUUAGACCCAAGUCAACUUCUGCUUCUUCCAUGAAGCCUCUCAAACUCACACCACUCUCUCUCUCUCUUUUGAAUUCCUAUCACAUAUACAAG